Molecule: non-coding RNA, 119 nt
Organism: Brachypodium distachyon (stiff brome)
Lineage: Eukaryota; Viridiplantae; Streptophyta; Magnoliopsida; Poales; Poaceae
Source: Rfam
AGCUGCGUGGUGAGCACAUAGCGAAUUAUUCUUUCGCCUUUUACUAAAGAAUACCGUGAGCUCGCCACAUCAAGCAGCAUACACCAAUUUUUUUUAGGGUUCCUUCUCCUUGUAAGGAU